GGACGAAGGGCUGGGGGUGGGGAGAGUGGCCUCCCCUGGGGGGGCAGGCUGGGCUGGGGCUCGAUUGGGGAGGGUCCCAGGCCCUGCUUGUCUACACCCUCACCGGGUCCCCAGCCCCCUGAGGCUGGAGGGAGCAGGGGCUGGAAGGGCGAGCAGAGACAGGCAGCAAAGCGGCAGGUGGUGGGCGGGCCGCACAGGGGAGCUCAGCGCCUCCACUUCCUGUGGGCCAAGGCCCGCCCGGGGCGCUUGCACAAACCGCCUUGCACAGACCUCAUUGCCCCUCUGCCCUGGCCUCCCUGGGGCUGCCCUCCCCGGCUCCCGGGCUGUGCCCUCUGGCCCCGCAGGGCUGGCAAGGGCCGGGCCGGACACCGUUCCUUCCUCAUUUUGCUGCUGAUCCCGGCCCCGAGGAAACAGGUCAGGCCUUCUCCCCCUCCAGCUCUCUCUGGCCACAGCUGCCUCCUGAGCGCUGCAGCCGGCGCCGGCCGGUGGAGGGAAGGGGGGGAGGCCUGGCCAGGGCUCCUGGCUCCUGGCUCCUGGCCCUCGGGCAGCCCUGCCUGUGGCCACAGCGCCAGCGUCGUCGCCGCCGGAGACCCAAGGAUGAUGCCCCAGCUGCAGUUCCGAGAUGCGUUUUGGGUGAGUGGAGGCGACGAGGAUGACGGACAAGUGGCAGGGCCAGGCCCAGUUCCCCUGGCAGUUGUCGGGGCUGCCGCUCGGUGGCUGGGUCUGGUCUUAACUGCCGCGGAGGUAGCCUGGGCCACUGUCCCCUGUGAGCUGGGAGGCGGAGGUGGCGCCUUGCCCAGGGUGCUGACUUUGUCGCCUGGUGGGGAGGGAACUUGUCCCGUGGGACACCCUUUGCCUCCCCCACCCCGCCCCAGCAGGAGCCUUUGCCGUGUGUGGGUGGGGGCUGAAGGUAGCACCAGGGAAAGGGGGCACCGGGCUUGGGUUUGGGUUUUGGCUCCGUUAUUUACGGGCUGGGCAAGUCAUUUUAUGCCGCUGAGCCUUAGUGUCUCCAGCCAUGUAACAGAGACAGAUAACAAUGGAGACAGCAGCCAGGCAGGGGGAGGAAGCAAGGUGCACCUUGCCCUGCACCAAAGGAUGACGCCCCUCCCCUCGUACCACCGCUGGCCCUGUGGGCCCCAGCGUCCUUCCACGAGGCAGCUGGGCUGGGCAGUUCCUCGCUUGCUUUCUUAG
RNAcentral lists this long non-coding RNA (1191 nucleotides) under Oryctolagus cuniculus (rabbit). Its description in RNAcentral is "lncRNA (ENSOCUG00000039489.1)". Lineage: Eukaryota; Metazoa; Chordata; Mammalia; Lagomorpha; Leporidae. The record is from RNAcentral.